This 246-nucleotide long non-coding RNA is filed under the name Phaseolus vulgaris (common bean). Its description in RNAcentral is "long non-coding RNA (PVUL_LNC001740)". The record is from RNAcentral. Lineage: Eukaryota; Viridiplantae; Streptophyta; Magnoliopsida; Fabales; Fabaceae.
AAGCAAGCUGUCCCCCGACCUCAUCCUCUGGCCAGCUGGGAAAUGUCUAUCUGCCUUCAUCUCCGGCGAUGUCCUUGCUUCGGCGAUCUCUAAUCACUUGGUCGCCUGGGUUUACAUCUGGCGACUUCAUCUUUAACCCGGUGACCGCCGGUUCUGGUGUGCUGGAGAUCGGAGCACGCCAACUUAAUAACUGGCGACUACACGAGCCCCCCGACUUCCUUCCCUUUUGCCAGCCAGGCGUCCCAU